This 337-nucleotide RNase P RNA is filed under the name uncultured Anaerotignum sp. Its description in RNAcentral is "Bacterial RNase P class A". It matches the Rfam family "Bacterial RNase P class A". From Rfam's summary of the family: Ribonuclease P (RNase P) is a ubiquitous endoribonuclease, found in archaea, bacteria and eukarya as well as chloroplasts and mitochondria. The record is from RNAcentral. Lineage: Bacteria; Bacillati; Bacillota; Clostridia; Lachnospirales; Anaerotignaceae.
AGUAGACUGGACAGUCGCGCUGAGCUGCGGCGCAGUGAGGAAAGUCCGGGCUUCAUAGAGCAGGGUGCCGGUUAACGGCCGGUAGAGGCGACUCUAAGGAAAGUGCAACAGAAAUAAACCGCCUGUCAUUUGUGCAGGUAAGGAUGGAAAGGUGGGGUAAGAGCCCACCGCUCCCUCGGUAACGCGGGAGGCUCUGUAAACCCCACCUGAAGCAAGACGAAAGCGGAGUAAGAGGCUGCUCGUCUCUCCGCGAGGAAAAGUCGCAAGAUGCUGUUGGCAACAACAGACCAAGAUAGAUGGCUGUCCACGACAGAACCCGGCUUAUAGGUCUGCUCCU